RNA transcript from Mastomys coucha (southern multimammate mouse), 667 nucleotides. It is a transcript of the gene named ferritin light chain 1 pseudogene, with no coding region annotated. Lineage: Eukaryota; Metazoa; Chordata; Mammalia; Rodentia; Muridae. The record is from RefSeq and is a predicted model, not a curated record. The transcript has a single exon.
AUGACCUGUCAGAUUCGUCAGAAUUAUUCCACCGAAGUGGAAGCUGCGGUGAACCGCCUGGCCAACUUGCACCUGCGGGCCUCCUACACCUACCUCUCUGGGCUUAUUUUUUGAUCGGGAUGACAUGGCUCUGGAGGGCGUAGGCCACUUCUUCCACGAAUUGGCUGAGGAGAAGCUCGAGGGCGCCGAGCAUCUCCUCGAGUUGCAGGACGAUCGCGGGGGGGGGGGGCGUGCGCUCUUCCAGGAUGUGCAGAAGCAAUCUCAAGAUGAAUGGGGUACAACCCAGGAGGCUAUGGAAGCUACCUUGGCCCUGGAGAAGAAUCUGAACCAGGCCCUCUUGUAUCUGCAUGCCCUGGGUUCUGCCCGCACAGACCCUCAUCUCUGAUUUCUUGGAGAACCACUUCCUGCAUAAGGAGAUGAAACUCAUCAAGAAGAUGGGCAACCACCUGACCAACCUCCGUAGGGUGGCAGGGCCACAACCAGCGCAGACCGGCGUGCCCCAGGGAUCUCUGGGCGAGUAUCUCUUUGAGCGCCUCACUCUCAAGCACGACCAGGUGGCCUCUGUGCCUUCCAAGGGGCUCCCCCGCUCUGCUCUGCACCAGCCCGCCUCGGGACCUCCACCUGAAUGAACCUCUCAAGCCACUAGGCAGCUUUGUAACCGCUCUGG